ACUGGAGGUGCGUAGGUCUAGAAGGAAGAAGGGAAGGACACAACACAAGACAUGGUUCGGACCUCGAUCCCGAUUCGUUUUAGGUCCGCUCGAGAGAGAGAGAGAGACACGACCAGGGAGCAAUGUGGUCUACGCGGGAGGGGGAAGGUUGAAGAUGGAGAGAGAGAGGCCGAAGGCCGCAACUGCGUAGUCACGGGUCUUAGGUUGAGUACACCAGGUGGCCGCCGAGCGGUGCUAACGCAGGUGGAUCGCUGCGCCGCGACAUCGAGGCCCCUAUAGCUACUAACGCCGACUAAUCCUCGGUUGGUAGGAGAAAAAUGACUAUUUCCUAGGUACCGCUGACCUUUUUAUCUGCUCCCCUUUAUACAAACAUGUUAGAUAUACAGUUCGUGUUCUACCUAGUUAACGAAGUAAUCUAUUUUCUUUGUCGUGUGGGACGGUUGUUAUACUAUUAAGAGCAACACAGUUGUAUAUAAGUCCUUGUAUGAAAGGUCUCCAUAUGAGAUUAUUACACCAUGAACAUAACGUUCACUUCGUACUCGACUUAUCCAUUUAGCAUUCCCAUUUUCAAAUAGGAGUCGACCACGUCGUUCUAACCUUUAUCUGUUUGCUCGUCACACUAAUAUUUGUAAAAAGUACGAAAGGUUCAUUUUUUCUUUCAAAGGUAUACUGACAGUCAUGAACACAUACUAGUUCAAUUAUGGACCCUAAAUAC
Molecule: ribosomal RNA, 715 nt
Filed under: Triticum aestivum (bread wheat)
Lineage: Eukaryota; Viridiplantae; Streptophyta; Magnoliopsida; Poales; Poaceae
Description: partial small subunit ribosomal RNA
Source: RNAcentral